This is an RNA transcript of Oncorhynchus kisutch (coho salmon), 971 nucleotides long. It is a transcript of the gene named 40S ribosomal protein S9, with no coding region annotated. The record is from RefSeq and is a predicted model, not a curated record. NCBI's taxonomy places the organism in Eukaryota, Metazoa, Chordata, Actinopteri, Salmoniformes, Salmonidae. The transcript is spliced from 6 exons.
GGGAAAUGUAGUUCGCGGGAUCCAUAUAAAUAUUGGAGAGAUCCAAUUCGACUUCCUCUUUAUCGUACUGGCCUGUGGGAGACAGGCACUUUGAUCCACCAUGCCCGUUGCCAGGAGUUGGGUUUGUCGCAAGACAUACGUCACCCCCCGCCGCCCCUUCGAGAAGUCUCGUCUCGACCAGGAGCUUAAACUUAUCGGGGAGUAUGGUCUGAGGAACAAGCGUGAGGUGUGGAGGGUGAAGUUCACCCUGGCCAAGAUCCGCAAGGCCGCCAGAGAGCUGCUCACUCUGGAUGAGAAGGACCCCAAGCGUCUUUUUGAAGGUAAUGCCCUGCUCAGGCGUCUGGUGAGGAUCGGUGUGCUGGAUGAGGGCAAGAUGAAGCUCGAUUAUAUCCUGGGCCUGAAGGUGGAGGACUUCUUGGAGAGGAGGCUCCAGACGCAGGUUUUCAAGUUGGGCCUUGCUAAGAGCAUCCACCAUGCCCGCGUUCUCAUCCGCCAGAGGCACAUCCGAGGGCCUCACAAACGAUAGCUCAUCCCUGAGUAUGGUUUAACAUUUCAGCAAGGUCAAUUCGGUAACAAACCGUAUACCUUGUCAAUGACUGCCCAGGGCCAAUCCUGCCCAUCAAGAGUAGGCAAACCAGUUUCAGCAAGGUCAAUGCAGUAACAGACUGUACACCUUGUCUAUCAGACUGCCCAGAGCCAAGCGAGAGGCAGACUGCUACUGUCCUAUUUGCUAACAGUGUGCGCAAGCAGGUAGUCAACAUCCCCUCCUUCGUGGUGCGCCUGGACAGCCAGAAGCACAUUGACUUCUCCCUGCGUUCACCAUACGGUGGCGGACGCCCCGGCCGUGUCAAGAGAAAGAAUGCCAAGAAGGGCCAGGGUGGUGCUGGGGGAGCUGAUGAGGAAGAGGAGGAUUAAAAUGGAGGCUGACUGACACUUCCUGUUUUUCAAUAAUAAAAACAUUUGACCACAAA